GCCCAAUAGCUAGCUCACAUCUCAACUUCAACACUCACGUAUUAAUAACCCCUAAAAUACUAAAUACCCUAACCAAAUCAUUUUUCCUCUUAAGUAUAGGCGAUAGAAAAAGAAUAUUGACGCAAUAGAUAAAGUACCGUAAGGGAACGCUGAAAGAGAAAUGAAAUAACCCAGUAAAGCAAAAAAAAGCAGAGCUUCCCCCUUGUACCUUUUGCAUCAUGUUUUAGCAAGAGUCUUUUGAGCAAAAAGCAUUUUAGUUCAAACACCCGAAACAAGGUGAGCUACUCCAAGACAGUCUUACUUAUAGGACUAACCCGUCUCUGUGGCAAAAGAGUGGGAAGAUCUUUGAGUAGAGGUGAUAAGCCUACCGAACCUUGUUAUAGCUGGUUGCCUGAGAAUUGAAUAGAAGUUCAGCCCCUUAAAAUUUUUCUCCUUUCUACCGUGGUAAAAACAAAGCAUAGAUCUAAAAGAAAUUUAGGGAGUUACUCAAAGGGGGUACAGCCCCUUUGAGAAAAGAAACAACUUUAUAAAGAAGGUUAAAGAUCAUAUUAUCAACUUAAGG
RNAcentral lists this ribosomal RNA (562 nucleotides) under Pseudomugil gertrudae (spotted blue-eye). Its description in RNAcentral is "partial 16S ribosomal RNA". The stretch from base 185 to 562 matches the Rfam family "Bacterial large subunit ribosomal RNA", at positions 566 to 1064 of the family's 2925-position model. Lineage: Eukaryota; Metazoa; Chordata; Actinopteri; Atheriniformes; Pseudomugilidae. The record is from RNAcentral.